GCCCCGAUCCGAACUGCCUAAAGUCCGGGCGAGUUCUCUCGACCCAAGCCACUAAGUGACUCGGCCCUAACCGUUUAUGAGGUUCUUUCCUAGUCUAAUCCGUUUCAUAUGAUUCCGAGAUUCAAUAUAUGAGACGAAUAGAGUAU
Molecule: small RNA, 146 nt
Filed under: Arabidopsis thaliana (thale cress)
Lineage: Eukaryota; Viridiplantae; Streptophyta; Magnoliopsida; Brassicales; Brassicaceae
Description: ATSL201110
Source: RNAcentral